Gasterosteus aculeatus aculeatus (three-spined stickleback) is the source of this 2526-nucleotide long non-coding RNA. The record is from Ensembl. Lineage: Eukaryota; Metazoa; Chordata; Actinopteri; Perciformes; Gasterosteidae.
GUAUCUCGUUUAGCGGUUCUCUUGUGCCUCCCUCCAGAUAAGUAGAUAUUUCCCUUACAUCUGGAGAACCACACUCCUCAUAAAAGGUCUACAUGGUCAGAUAGGCGUUUAAAAGUCCCAUCAAAGUGGAGGUUAUGAGUCAGGCGGCUCAGAAAGGCCUUUCCUUCUACUGAAGGCCAGAAAAUAUCCAUUUUACAGUAAAAGAGAAACACUUCUCUUUAUGUAACGGUGGAGGGGUCCUAGGUGCACAUGCAAGCAAAUGAAUGCUCUUUGGAGGAAUAACAAGGUAUAUUGUAAUUUAUUUACUAGCACACACAGAUGUUGUAUUCAUUCUAAUAUGACUGUUUGUCUGAGGGAAUAAGACAGAUCACUUUAUCGAUUAGGAAAACAAGAAUGCAAAUAUGUUGAUCUGAGAUGAGGAAAUAACCGCCCAGGCUUCUUGUGUGCUGCUAGCUUCUUUUAAAGUGCGUAUGUCGUUUCGGAUCUGGUUGGUUUGGAUCAGAUAGAAGCGGGUUCAUCUCUCACCCUCUUACCACACACAGUCCCACAAAUACACGCACACAAGGCAGACCAGACACAAACUUAAGAGUGCUGUCAAGGUUUUAUAUAUAUACCGUGAUGCAAAAAUGAGGUCUUUAACAGUAAAUAAUAUUGAAUAUUGUUAAGAGUAUAGCAUUGUACGCGUAGUCGCCAAUCUUGUUAGCGGGAGAUUAAAUGACUGGGGGUUAUUAGGCAGUAUCGUGCUUUUAAGCCAUGAAAUGUAAAGCAAACUCACCUCAUAAAUCUUGGGUCAGCCAGCUGCAGCAUUGUGUUUGUGUUACAACAAUCAUUUGUGUCCUAUGACCUGAACGUAUUGUACACAUUCCAGGAGAGGGAUCCUCCACUGCUGUUCUCACUAAGGUUUCUUCCCUUUUCUCCCCAUCAAAGGGUUUUGCAUUCUUGUUUUUCCCCCUGUGGCUGUGAGUGUUUCGGGGCAGAGGAUAUUGCAUGUGUACAGACUGUAAUGCCGUCUGAGGCAAAUUUGCAAUUUUGGGCUGUACAAUAUAAAAUGAAAUUGUAUGCCUCUGAGAAAAUGAAAUAUAUCAAGUGUCAUUUGAUGACACUGCAGGUUUUCCCACAAAGCAUGUAGGAGUUCGUACUUUUCUAUUAUAGGCUCUUCAACUGGGAGUGACGGAAUCUAAAACCAAUACAGAAGAUCACAUUUAUCUAUCAAAGUAUUUGGUACAGAAACAUUUUUUUCGCAGUUAUCAAACAUUUCCUGUAGUUCUUGACAAGGUUUGCACACACUGCAGCCGGGACUUUGGCCCACUCGUCCAUACAGACCUUCUCCAGGUUUUGGGGCGGUCGCUGGGCAACGCAGACAUUCAGCUCCCUCUACAGACUUCAUAUUGGGUUCAGGUCUGGACUGGCUGGUAGUUCAAACGGUAUAAGUUUUCCGUACGGUAUGAAUGUCUCACGUGCCGUUACACCAUAACUGACGUUUCUCUUCGACCGGCGGCAGAAUUUAUUUCUACCCGUCAUCGACGAGCGCCCAAAGCUGCUUGUCUUACGUGUGUUGAAAUUGAGCCAUGGUUAUAACUUUAUAACGACAAUUAAUAACCUACAACAAACAAUUUGUAACACUAAUAACUACAUUUAUAAAAAUUACCCCGCCGAACUGCAUGCUGGGUAAAGAAGUAACUCUGCUGCUACAUGAAAACACGGAAAAGAGCGAUACAGGAGGAACAACGAGAGACCAGAGAUGCACCAACACAACUUGUGCCCAAGAGAGGAGCUGAGUCUGUUUGGAGGGUUUUUGAUUUUUGAAAAUUCAACGUAAGUUAGAGCUGAAAAUAAUUUCUUACAACAAGCUAACGAGCGAACACGCCGGCCAGUUGCGAGCCAGUUGGCCAUCAAGCGGCGAACAGCUGUUCCGGUAGCCAGCGUCCUUUUUGGGGUCAAUGAAUUAACAUGUUUACUUGAAAAAGCAUUGCAUGGAGCCCCAGACCGAGGGAGAUUGACCGUCAUCUUGAACUUCUUCCAUUUUCUAAUAAUUGCGCCAAGAGUUGUUCCCUUGUCACCAAGCUGCUUCCCUGUUGUCCUGUAGCCCAUCCGAGCCUUGUGCAGGUCUAGAAUUUUACUCCUGAUGUCCUUACAAAGCUUCUCUGGUCUUGGCCAUUGUGGAGAGGUUGGAGUCUGUAUGAUUGAGUUGCUGGACUGUAAUGGCAAAAAUGUAUGUUACCCUUCAAAAUGUGUCAUUGAAUGAACAAGUGCUGGGAUGGUGUGGCCAUGAAAAAGAGUUGAGCUGGAGUGAUUCACACUGAUAAGAUGCCGGUCUCCUGGCUGUAGAGACACAACAAGUUGGUUUGGAGGCCACCUGGGGCCUGUUUCAGAAAGGAGGUUAAGUGAAAACUCUGAGUAUGUUAACCCUGAAAUGAGGGAAACUCUGAGUUUUCUGUUUCAGAAUGGGAGGUAUGUUAAACCUGAGAAAGCAGAGUAAGUCAAGCCUGUUUCAGAAAGAGAGGUAACUUAUACUCAGAGUCAGUU